RNAcentral lists this ribosomal RNA (254 nucleotides) under uncultured bacterium. Its description in RNAcentral is "partial 16S ribosomal RNA". It matches the Rfam family "Bacterial small subunit ribosomal RNA", at positions 524 to 776 of the family's 1533-position model. The record is from RNAcentral.
UACGAAGGGGGCUAGCGUUGUUCGGAUUUACUGGGCGUAAAGCGCACGUAGGCGGUUCGUUAAGUCGGAUGUGAAAGCCCCUCGGCUCAACUGAGGAAGUGCACCCGAAACUGGCGAGCUUGAGUACGAAAGAGGAUCGCGGAAUUCCCGGUGUAGAGGUGAAAUUCGUAGAUAUUGGGAAGAACACCGGUGGCGAAGGCGGCUCACUGGCUCAUUACUGACGCUCAGGCGCGACAGCGUGGGGAUCAAACAGG